AGAGCGAACGCUGGCGGCAGGCCUAAUACAUGCAAGUCGAACGCACCUUCGGGUGAGUGGCGGACGGGUGAGUAACACGUGGGAACGUGCCUUUUGGUUCGGAAUAAUCCGGGGAAACCUGGCCUAAUACCGGAUGUGCCCUUCGGGGGAAAGAUUUAUCGCCAUUAGAGCGGCCCGCGUCUGAUUAGCUAGUUGGUGAGGUAACGGCCCACCAAGGCGACGAUCAGUAGCUGGUCUGAGAGGAUGAUCAGCCACACUGGGACUGAGACACGGCCCAGACUCCUACGGGAGGCAGCAGUAGGGAAUCUUGCGCAAUGGGCGAAAGCCUGACGCAGCCAUGCCGCGUGAAUGAUGAAGGUCUUAGGAUUGUAAAAUUCUUCACCGGGGACAUAAUGACGGUACCCGGAGAACGAAGCCCCGGCUAACUUCGCGCCAGCAGCCGC
This 443-nucleotide ribosomal RNA is filed under the name uncultured bacterium. RNAcentral's name for it is "SSU rRNA". It matches the Rfam family "Bacterial small subunit ribosomal RNA", at positions 26 to 518 of the family's 1533-position model. The record is from RNAcentral.